This 497-nucleotide ribosomal RNA is filed under the name uncultured bacterium. RNAcentral describes it as "partial 16S ribosomal RNA". It matches the Rfam family "Bacterial small subunit ribosomal RNA", at positions 28 to 507 of the family's 1533-position model. The record is from RNAcentral.
GACGAACGCUGGCGCCGUGCCUAAUACAUCCAAGUUGAGUGCUGAAGGUUGGUACUUGUACCAACUGGAUGAGCAGCGAACGGGUGAGUAACGCGUGGGGAAUCUGCCUUUGAGCGGGGGACAACAUUUGGAAACGAAUGCUAAUACCGCAUAAAAACUUUAAACACAAGUUUUAAGUUUGAAAGAUGCAAUUGCAUCACUCAAAGAUGAUCCCGCGUUGUAUUAGCUAGUUGGUGAGGUAAAGGCUCACCAAGGCGAUGAUACAUAGCCGACCUGAGAGGGUGAUCGGCCACAUUGGGACUGAGACACGGCCCAAACUCCUACGGGAGGCAGCAGUAGGGAAUCUUCGGCAAUGGACGAAAGUCUGACCGAGCAACGCCGCGUGAGUGAAGAAGGUUUUCGGAUCGUAAAACUCUGUUGGUAGAGAAGAAGGUUGGUGAGAGUGGAAAGCUCAUCAAGUGACGGUAACUACCCAGAAAGGGACGGCUAAGUACGUG